Molecule: ribosomal RNA, 94 nt
Filed under: uncultured bacterium
Lineage: Bacteria
Description: partial 16S ribosomal RNA
Source: RNAcentral
CCGCCCGUCACAUCACGAAAGUGAAUUGUACUAGAAGUCUGCAGGCUAACCCGCAAGGGGGCAGCGGCCCAAGGUAUGAUCCAUGAUUGGGGUG